This 397-nucleotide ribosomal RNA is filed under the name uncultured bacterium. RNAcentral's name for it is "partial 16S ribosomal RNA". It matches the Rfam family "Bacterial small subunit ribosomal RNA", at positions 523 to 918 of the family's 1533-position model. The record is from RNAcentral.
AUACGUAGGUGACAAGCGUUAUCCGGAUUUACUGGGCGUAAAGGGCGUGUAGGCGGUCUUGCAAGUCAGAAGUGAAAUUCCUGAGCUCAACUCGGGCGCUGCUUCUGAAACUGCAGGACUUGAGUGCUGGAGGGGAUAGCGGAAUUCCUAGUGGAGCGGUAAAAUGCGCAGAUAUUAGGAAGAACACCGGUGGCGAAGGCGGCUAUCUGGACAGUAACUGACGGUGAGGCGCGAAAGCGUGGGGAGCAAACAGGAUUAGAUACCCUGGUAGUCCACGCUUUAAACGAUGAUUACUAGGUGUAGGGGGUAUCGACUCCCUCUGUGCCGCAGUUAACGCAGUAAGUAAUCCACCUGGGGAGUACGGUCGCAAGAUUAAAACUCAAAUGAAUUGACGGGG